Molecule: ribosomal RNA, 199 nt
Filed under: Crustomastix stigmatica
Lineage: Eukaryota; Viridiplantae; Chlorophyta; Mamiellophyceae; Dolichomastigales; Crustomastigaceae
Description: partial Bacterial large subunit ribosomal RNA
Rfam family: Bacterial large subunit ribosomal RNA
Source: RNAcentral
CUAGUACGAGAGGACCGGAGUGGGCAGACCUCUAGGUAUCCAGGUGUCCCAUUACGGGCAGUCUGCGACCCCACGUCUGGACAUUGCUAACCCCUGAAAGCAUCAAUGGGGGAAGAAGGCGCAUAGUCUAUAGCCAGUACAAGAAAGGGUGCCCGGAAGACUACGGGUUCAAUAGGAGCAUAUGAAUACCGUCGCAAGA